RNAcentral lists this ribosomal RNA (604 nucleotides) under uncultured Lachnospiraceae bacterium. Its description in RNAcentral is "bacterial SSU rRNA". It matches the Rfam family "Bacterial small subunit ribosomal RNA", at positions 51 to 651 of the family's 1533-position model. Lineage: Bacteria; Bacillati; Bacillota; Clostridia; Lachnospirales; Lachnospiraceae. The record is from RNAcentral.
ACACAUGCAAGUCGAACGGGGUGCUCAUGACGGAGGAUUCGUCCAACGGAUUGAGUUACCUAGUGGCGGACGGGUGAGUAACGCGUGAGGAACCUGCCUUGGAGAGGGGAAUAACACUCCGAAAGGAGUGCUAAUACCGCAUGAUGCAGUUGGGUCGCAUGGCUCUGACUGCCAAAGAUUUAUCGCUCUGAGAUGGCCUCGCGUCUGAUUAGCUAGUAGGCGGGGUAACGGCCCACCUAGGCGACGAUCAGUAGCCGGACUGAGAGGUUGACCGGCCACAUUGGGACUGAGACACGGCCCAGACUCCUACGGGAGGCAGCAGUGGGGAAUAUUGGGCAAUGGGCGCAAGCCUGACCCAGCAACGCCGCGUGAAGGAAGAAGGCUUUCGGGUUGUAAACUUCUUUUGUCGGGGACGAAACAAAUGACGGUACCUGACGAAUAAGCCAUGGCUAACUACGUGCCAGCAGCCGCGGUAAUACGUAGGUGGCAAGCGUUAUCCGGAUUUACUGGGUGUAAAGGGCGUGUAGGCGGGAUUGCAAGUCAGAUGUGAAAACUGGGGGCUCAACCUCCAGCCUGCAUUUGAAACUGUAGUUCUUGAGUGCUG